RNAcentral lists this ribosomal RNA (253 nucleotides) under uncultured bacterium. Its description in RNAcentral is "partial 16S ribosomal RNA". It matches the Rfam family "Bacterial small subunit ribosomal RNA", at positions 524 to 776 of the family's 1533-position model. The record is from RNAcentral.
UACGGAGGGUGCAAGCGUUAUCCGGAUUCACUGGGUUUAAAGGGUGCGUAGGAGGGCAGGUAAGUCAGUGGUGAAAUCUCCAAGCCUAACUUGGAAACUGCCGUUGAUACUAUCUGUCUUGAAUAUUGUGGAGGUGAGCGGAAUAUGUCAUGUAGCGGUGAAAUGCUUAGAUAUGACAUAGAACACCAAUUGCGAAGGCAGCUCACUACUCAAUCAUUGACUCUGAGGCACGAAAGCGUGGGGAUCAAACAGG